AUACCUAUUGCACUAGUGUUGCUAGAAGCGUUAUCAAUGGAAAUUGACAUUAUUUAUCACAAAAACAAAAAUAUCUGCAUACAUCUGAAACAGUGUUAGUAAUAAACCUACCCGUGUGCCGUGAAUUAAUUUCCUAUAUGCAAUAAUGCAUUUUUGCAUUGUCCAGUCUUCGUCUAUCCAAUGACUGGUUACAGUUAGAUAAUCACAAUCAUUAUUACUUCUACCAAUAUN
RNAcentral lists this long non-coding RNA (231 nucleotides) under Nicotiana benthamiana. RNAcentral describes it as "long non-coding RNA (NBEN_LNC013047)". Lineage: Eukaryota; Viridiplantae; Streptophyta; Magnoliopsida; Solanales; Solanaceae. The record is from RNAcentral.